This 459-nucleotide ribosomal RNA is filed under the name uncultured bacterium. RNAcentral describes it as "partial 16S ribosomal RNA". It matches the Rfam family "Bacterial small subunit ribosomal RNA", at positions 338 to 795 of the family's 1533-position model. The record is from RNAcentral.
CCUACGGGUGGCUGCAGUGAGGAAUAUUGGUCAAUGGGCGGGAGCCUGAACCAGCCAAGCCGCGUGAGGGAAGAAGGUACAGCGUAUCGUAAACCUCUUUUGUCAGGGAACAAAGGCGGGGACUAGUCCCCGGAUGAGGGUACCUGAAGAAAAAGCAUCGGCUAACUCAGUGCCAGCAGCCGCGGUAAUACGGAGGAUGCGAGCGUUAUCCGGAUUUAUUGGGUUUAAAGGGUGCGCAGGCGGCCUGUUAAGUCAGCGGUAAAAGCCCGGGGCUCAACCCCGGCGAGCCGUUGAAACUGGCGGGCUGGAGUUGGAGAGAAGUACGCGGAAUGCGCGGUGUAGCGGUGAAAUGCAUAGAUAUCACGCAGAACCCCGAUUGCGAAGGCAGCCUUCCGGCGCCCUACUGACGCUGAGGCACGAAAGUGCGGGGAUCGAACAGGAUUAGAUACCCGGGUAGUC